RNAcentral lists this transfer RNA (73 nucleotides) under Demequina flava. It matches the Rfam family "tRNA". Rfam says of the family: Transfer RNA (tRNA) molecules are approximately 80 nucleotides in length. Their secondary structure includes four short double-helical elements and three loops (D, anti-codon, and T loops). Further hydrogen bonds mediate the characteristic L-shaped molecular structure. tRNAs have two regions of fundamental functional importance: the anti-codon, which is responsible for specific mRNA codon recognition, and the 3' end, to which the tRNAs corresponding amino acid is attached (by aminoacyl-tRNA synthetases). tRNAs cope with the degeneracy of the genetic code in two manners: having more than one tRNA (with a specific anti-codon) for a particular amino acid; and 'wobble' base-pairing, i.e. permitting non-standard base-pairing at the 3rd anti-codon position. The record is from RNAcentral. Lineage: Bacteria; Bacillati; Actinomycetota; Actinomycetes; Micrococcales; Demequinaceae. RNAcentral also lists the same sequence under 2 other names.
GGGGCCUUAGCUCAAUUGGUAGAGCGCCUGCUUUGCAAGCAGGAGGUCGUGGGUUCGAUUCCCACAGGCUCCA